Molecule: non-coding RNA, 96 nt
Organism: Cerioporus squamosus
Lineage: Eukaryota; Fungi; Basidiomycota; Agaricomycetes; Polyporales; Polyporaceae
Source: the annotation of a GenBank genome assembly
GUCCCUGUCGAUUAGUGGUUAGAUCAUCACGUUGUGGUAUCGGGUGCAUCACUCGAGCAAACCGUGGGGACGCAGGCUCGAAUCCUGCCAGGGACA